RNAcentral lists this transfer RNA (69 nucleotides) under Ictidomys tridecemlineatus (thirteen-lined ground squirrel). Its description in RNAcentral is "Spermophilus tridecemlineatus (thirteen-lined ground squirrel) tRNA". It matches the Rfam family "tRNA". Rfam says of the family: Transfer RNA (tRNA) molecules are approximately 80 nucleotides in length. Their secondary structure includes four short double-helical elements and three loops (D, anti-codon, and T loops). Lineage: Eukaryota; Metazoa; Chordata; Mammalia; Rodentia; Sciuridae. The record is from Rfam by way of RNAcentral.
GGGGUUGUAGCUCAGGGGUAGAGCGCUUGUCUAGCACAUGUGAAGCCCUGGGUUCAAUCCUCAGCACCA